Molecule: long non-coding RNA, 908 nt
Organism: Oryzias melastigma (Indian medaka)
Lineage: Eukaryota; Metazoa; Chordata; Actinopteri; Beloniformes; Adrianichthyidae
Exons: 2
Source: RefSeq, a predicted model, not a curated record
UUAUUCUGACAUAUAAAAUGACUGAGAAAUAACUGUCUGUUUCUCAAUGUAAGUCAAUGGGACUUUGGCCUUUUUGCAACCCAGUGGUACUUCCUAUAUGGAACAUCUGAUUUUAUAAUUUUGUUAGUUUACUGCUUAAGUUAUGUUCUGUCAUGUUCAGUUGUUCAAUAAAAAACAAAACAACAAAAAAAAACACGGAAGUAGGGGGGCUUGCUCUGUCCAGUUAUUCUUAUAAACAGUCUAUGGGUGAAACUAGGGGUGUAAGGGAUAAUCUGUGGUCCGUUAGCCGGUUCAGGACACACGUGUACCAAGAACUCAUAUAUGUCUGUGUACAAAGUUGACUUCAAUAAUAUAUUUACUGAUGAUCAUCUUCAAGGAACAUCCUGUUGAACUCUAUGAAGUCAAAUGUGGAUCAGAUAUGUGAGAAUUGUUGUUCAAAAUAACUGUUCAUAAUCUUCAUUCUAUGUUCCACUCAUGUUCAUGAGAAACCAUUAAAGCCAUCAAUAAAAACGUUUCAGGACUUCUUUUUAAUGUUUUUUGUUUUAAUUCCAAAUGUGUCCCACCUGCAGUGGCUUCUGGGUAAUUAGAGUUUGAUACACCAGACCUUGUCUGGUUUAGGACGUGUUGAUGGUGUAGCUUUUUAAAGCGGAGUGCUUCCUGUCACCUUAGCCCUGCCUUAUGGACAUUCAUCUCACAGGGUUGAUCUGCAGCAGGUGAGCAUAAUUCAGGGGCUGGGAAAGUCUUUAAGGAGGACAGCUGUUGGGCCAGAGACGAUCGCUUUAUAACAUCUGCAGCCGUCUUCUUGAGAUUUGAAACACCUUCCUGCUCCUUUGUGUUACAGAUAAACCUCCAAAUCUCACAAAAAAAGCCAACAACAAAAAAAAAAAACAACAAUCUGACAAAAGAAA